GAGUUUGAUCGUGGCUCAGGAUGAACGCUGGCGGCAUGCCUAAUACAUGCAAGUCGAACGGACAGAAGAGAAAAGCUUGCUUUUUUGGAAGUCAGUGGCGAACGGGUGAGUAACACGUAGGUAACCUGCCCAUGUGCCCGGGAUAAUUUCUGGAAACGGAAACUAAAACCGGAUAGGUAGGGAUCUCGCAUGAGGACCUUAUUAAAGGGGCUACGGCCCUGAACAUGGAUGGACCUGCGGUGCAUUAGCUGGUUGGUGGGGUAACGGCCUACCAAGGCGACGAUGCAUAGCCGACCUGAGAGGGCGAACGGCCACAUUGGGACUGAGACACGGCCCAAACUCCUACGGGAGGCAGCAGUAGGGAAUUUUCGUCAAUGGGGGAACCCUGAACGAGCAAUGCCGCGUGAGUGAAGACGGUUUUCGGACUGUAAAGCUCUGUUGUAAGAGAAAAACGGCCGACAUAG
Molecule: ribosomal RNA, 464 nt
Filed under: uncultured bacterium
Lineage: Bacteria
Description: bacterial SSU rRNA
Rfam family: Bacterial small subunit ribosomal RNA
Source: RNAcentral